This is a non-coding RNA of Misgurnus anguillicaudatus (oriental weatherfish), 320 nucleotides long. The record is from RefSeq and is a predicted model, not a curated record. NCBI's taxonomy places the organism in Eukaryota, Metazoa, Chordata, Actinopteri, Cypriniformes, Cobitidae.
ACCAAUGAGGGAGAUUUCAAAUUCUGACGAGGCAGACGGAUAUUUUACCGUUGUUGGAGGACAGGAUGAAUUCAACAAUUCGCGGUCUGGAUUAAGUCUUUUGGAUCGUCAGAGGUGCGUUUGAUUGUGGCAACUAACAAUUACCUUCACAACGAGGAAAAACCAAGGUCACUGCAACUUCUGCAGAUGUACAGGGAAGCCUCACUGUACCCAGCACCCCAAGGCUGAUUGCAUUCGGUAAGGCUAUCAAAAUGCUUUUAUUAGUAUUUGCAUUUUUACCAAUGUUUCAUUUUUAGUACGUUUUAGGUUUGAGCAACUUG